GACGAACCGUGCGAACGUUGUUCGGAAUCACUGGGCUUAAAGGGCGCGUAGGCGGGCGAUCAAGUCAGGGGUGAAAUCCGUCGGCUUAACCGGCGAAGAGCUUUUGAUACUGGUCGUCUCGAGGGAGGUAGGGGCAUACGGAACUUCCGGUGGAGCGGUGAAAUGCGUAGAUAUCGGGAGGAACACCAGCGGCGAAGGCGGGCAUCUGGGCCAACACUGACGCUGAGGCGCGAAAGCUAGGGGAGCAAACAGG
Molecule: ribosomal RNA, 253 nt
Filed under: uncultured bacterium
Lineage: Bacteria
Description: partial 16S ribosomal RNA
Rfam family: Bacterial small subunit ribosomal RNA
Source: RNAcentral